GAUGAACGCUGGCGGCGUGCUUAACACAUGCAAGUCGAACGGAAAGGCUCCUGCUUGCAGGGGUACUCGAGUGGCGAACGGGUGAGUAACACGUGGGUGAUCUGCCCUGCACUUCGGGAUAAGCCUGGGAAACUGGGUCUAAUACCGGAUAGGACCACAUUUUGGAUGGUGUGGUGGAAAGUUUUUCGGUGUGGGAUGAGCUCGCGGCCUAUCAGCUUGUUGGUGGGGUAAUGGCCUACCAAGGCGUCGACGGGUAGCCGGCCUGAGAGGGUGUACGGCCACAUUGGGACUGAGAUACGGCCCAGACUCCUACGGGAGGCAGCAGUGGGGAAUAUUGCACAAUGGGCGCAAGCCUGAUGCAGCGACGCCGCGUGGGGGAUGACGGCCUUCGGGUUGUAAACUGCUUUCGCUAGGGACGAAGCGCAAGUGACGGUACCUGGAGAAGAAGCACCGGCUAACUACGUG
This 465-nucleotide ribosomal RNA is filed under the name uncultured bacterium. RNAcentral describes it as "partial 16S ribosomal RNA". It matches the Rfam family "Bacterial small subunit ribosomal RNA", at positions 28 to 507 of the family's 1533-position model. The record is from RNAcentral.